CCUACGGGUGGCAGCAGUGAGGAAUAUUGGUCAAUGGGCGCGAGCCUGAUCCAGCCAAGUAGCGUGAAGGAUGACUGCCCUCCGGGUUGUAAACUUCUUUUAUAAAGGAAUAAAGUGAGGCACGUGUGCCUUUUUGUAUGUACUUUAUGAAUAAGGCUCGGCUAACUCCGUGCCAGCAGCCGCGGUAAUACGGAGGAUCCGAGCGUUAUCCGGAUUUAUGGGGUUUAAAGGGAGCGUAGAGGGGUUGUUAAGUCAGUUGUGAAAGUCUGCGGCUCAACCGUAAAAUUGCACUUGAUACUGGCAGUCUAGAGUACAGUUGAGGUAGGCGGAAUUCGUGGUGUAGCGGUGAAAUGCGUAGAGAUCACGAAGAACACCGAUUGCGAAGGCAGCUUACUAAACUGCCACUGACAUUGAUGCUCGAAAGUGUGGGUAUCAAACAGGAUUAGAUACCCGAGUAGUC
Molecule: ribosomal RNA, 460 nt
Filed under: uncultured bacterium
Lineage: Bacteria
Description: partial 16S ribosomal RNA
Rfam family: Bacterial small subunit ribosomal RNA
Source: RNAcentral